UAGGGAAUCUUCCGCAAUGGACGCAAGUCUGACGGAGCAACGCCGCGUGAGUGAAGAAGGAUUUCGGUUCGUAAAACUCUGUUGUUAGAGAAGAACAGCGCAUAGAGUAACUGUUAUGCGUGUGACGGUAUCUAACCAGAAAGCCACGGCUAACUACGUGCCAGCAGCCGCGGUAAUACGUAGGUGGCAAGCGUUGUCCGGAAUUAUUGGGCGUAAAGCGAGCGCAGGCGGUCAAUUAAGUCUGAUGUGAAAGCCCCCGGCUCAACCGGGGAGGGUCAUUGGAAACUGGUUGACUUGCGUGCAGAAGAGGAGAGUGGAAUUCCAUGUGUAGCGGUGAAAUGCGUAGAUAUAUGGAGGAACACCAGUGGCGAAGGCGACUCUCUGGUCUGUAACUGACGCGGAGGCUCGAAAGCGUGGGUAGCAAACAGG
This 429-nucleotide ribosomal RNA is filed under the name Bacteroidota bacterium. Its description in RNAcentral is "Bacteroidetes bacterium partial 16S ribosomal RNA". It matches the Rfam family "Bacterial small subunit ribosomal RNA", at positions 355 to 776 of the family's 1533-position model. Lineage: Bacteria; Pseudomonadati; Bacteroidota. The record is from RNAcentral.